This 331-nucleotide unclassified non-coding RNA is filed under the name soil metagenome. RNAcentral describes it as "partial contains 5.8S ribosomal RNA, internal transcribed spacer 2, and large subunit ribosomal RNA". The stretch from base 1 to 120 matches the Rfam family "5.8S ribosomal RNA", at positions 35 to 154 of the family's 154-position model. The record is from RNAcentral.
GAUGAAGAACGUAGCGAAAUGCGAUAAGUAAUGUGAAUUGCAGAAUUCAGUGAAUCAUCGAAUCUUUGAACGCACAUUGCGCCCCCUGGUAUUCCGGGGGGCAUGCCUGUUCGAGCGUCAUUUCACCACUCAAGCCUCGCUUGGUAUUGGGCAACGCGGUCCGCCGCGUGCCUCAAAUCGACCGGCUGGGUCUUCUGUCCCCUAAGCGUUGUGGAAACUAUUCGCUAAAGGGUGUUCGGGAGGCUACGCCGUAAAACAACCCCAUUUCUAAGGUUGACCUAGGAUCAGGUAGGGAUACCCGCUGAACUUAAGCAUAUCAAUAAGCGGAGGA